This 465-nucleotide ribosomal RNA is filed under the name Scorpaenichthys marmoratus (cabezon). RNAcentral describes it as "partial 16S ribosomal RNA". It matches the Rfam family "Bacterial large subunit ribosomal RNA", at positions 1934 to 2551 of the family's 2925-position model. The record is from RNAcentral. Lineage: Eukaryota; Metazoa; Chordata; Actinopteri; Perciformes; Cottidae.
CGGUAUUUUGACCGUGCGAAGGUAGCGCAAUCACUUGUCUUUUAAAUGGAGACCCGUAUGAAUGGCAUAACGAGGGCUUAGCUGUCUCCUCUUUCAAGUCAAUGAAAUUGAUCUUUCCGUGCAGAAGCGGGAAUAUAAACAUAAGACGAGAAGACCCUAUGGAGCUUUAGACACUAAAGCAGCCCACGUUAAACGCCCCUGGAUAAAGGAUUAAACGACAGUGGGCCCUGCCCUAAUGUCUUUGGUUGGGGCGACCGCGGGGAAUUAAGAAACCCCCACGUGGAAUGGGAGUACCCCUCCUACAACUAAGAGCUACAGCUCUAGUAAACAGAAUUUCUGACCAACAAGAUCCGGCAAUGCCGAUCAACGGACCGAGUUACCCUAGGGAUAACAGCGCAAUCCUCUUUUAGAGCCCAUAUCGACAAGGGGGUUUACGACCUCGAUGUUGGAUCAGGACAUCCUAAU